AGCGAGGUGGGGUAGUCAGGAGAUCCCGACGGGCUCAUAACCCGUAGACCGAUGGUUCAAAUCCAUCCUUCGCUA
RNAcentral lists this transfer RNA (75 nucleotides) under Methanofollis aquaemaris. RNAcentral's name for it is "tRNA-Met". It matches the Rfam family "tRNA". From Rfam's summary of the family: Transfer RNA (tRNA) molecules are approximately 80 nucleotides in length. Their secondary structure includes four short double-helical elements and three loops (D, anti-codon, and T loops). Lineage: Archaea; Methanobacteriati; Methanobacteriota; Methanomicrobia; Methanomicrobiales; Methanomicrobiaceae. The record is from RNAcentral.